UACAUCGGUGACAGGUGGUGCAUGGUUGUCGUCAGCUCGUGUCGUGAGAUGUUGGGUUAAGUCCCGCAACGAGCGCAACCCCUAUUGUUAGUUGCCAUCAUUCAGUUGGGCACUCUAGCGAGACUGCCGGUAAUAAACCGGAGGAAGUGGGAUGACGUCAAAUCAUCAUGCCCCUUAUGACCUGGGCUACACACGUGCUACAAUGGUUGGUACAACGAGUUGCGAGUCGGUGACGGCGAGCUAAUCUCUUAAAGCCAAUCUCAGUUCGGAUUGUAGGCUGCAACUCGCCUACAUGAAGUCGGAAUCGCUAGUAAUCGCGGAUCAGCACGCCGCGGUGAAUACGUUCCCGGGCCUU
Molecule: ribosomal RNA, 355 nt
Filed under: uncultured Streptococcus sp.
Lineage: Bacteria; Bacillati; Bacillota; Bacilli; Lactobacillales; Streptococcaceae
Description: bacterial SSU rRNA
Rfam family: Bacterial small subunit ribosomal RNA
Source: RNAcentral